RNAcentral lists this transfer RNA (78 nucleotides) under Cordylochernes scorpioides. Its description in RNAcentral is "tRNA-Glu". The record is from RNAcentral. Lineage: Eukaryota; Metazoa; Arthropoda; Arachnida; Pseudoscorpiones; Chernetidae.
UGUCCAAUGCGGGAAUCGAACCCGGGUCCUAGUGGUCGAAAACCAAACGGUUUAACCAGCCUUCCACCGAAAUUGAAA